AAGGAAAGAAAGAAAGAAAGAAAGAAAGAAAGAAAGAAAGAAAGAAAGAAAGAAAGAAAGAAAGAAAGAAAAGAAAUUGUAGCUGGCCUUCCCCUGCCACCAUGGGCUCACCACUGUCCAAGUUGUUGACAGUUUAAAUUAAACACCAUCAACUCACCAAUAAAUUGGAUGGGACAGAGUUAGGUCUCGCUGUCCCUCUCAGUUCCAUUAAUAAAGAGAAUUCCAUCAUUUCUGUUUGGAAUUGUUUUGAAGAUGACUACAGAGACAUUUCUGAGGUGGACAUGGACAGAAUACUUGACGUCAUUUCCCAAACACCACUAAUCGGUUUUACAGUACUUCACAAACCGUAAGGUUUAUUCACCCAUUAAUGUUGAUGAGCUAUCUGUGCGUCACUCCACUCAGCAUUGAUGGGGGUUGCCCAGGAUAAUCCCCUGCCAGGGGAAGUGAGAGGAAUAGACUUUAAAAGAUGCCAAACUUGAAAAUUUACAUCAGCAUUUAAACUGCAUUAUUACUCCUCCACAUUCAUUGGGCUUUCCUUUCUUCAGUCAAGAGGUCUUGGGACUGCAGAAGAUCAGUAUGAUCCAUAAAGGUAA
Molecule: long non-coding RNA, 593 nt
Organism: Canis lupus familiaris (dog)
Lineage: Eukaryota; Metazoa; Chordata; Mammalia; Carnivora; Canidae
Exons: 4
Source: RefSeq, a predicted model, not a curated record